GGGGGGGGGGGGGGGGGGGGGGGGCGCAGGCGGGGCGGGGGGGGAGGGGCGGGUGGUGGGGGGGGGCCGGGUGGGGAGCGGGGGAGGAGAACGUGUGGAGCCCGCCCGUGACUUUGGGAUAAAAGCAGGGAAGUGGGGCGAAUACCGGGCAGGAGCUCCCGCUGCAGGGUGUGCGUGAGAAAGUUUCGGCGGUGGGGGAUUGACUCGCGGCUUAUCAGCUCGUGGGUGGGGUAGUGGCUUUGCACGGCUUUGACGGGUAGCCGGCCUGAGAGGGUGGCCGGCCACAUUGGGCCUGUGAUACGGCCCAGACUCCUACGGGAGGCAGCAGUGGGGAAUAUUGCACAAUGGGCGGAAGCCUGAUGCAGAAACGCCGCGUGCGGGAUGACGGCCUUCGGGUUGUAAACCGCUUUCGCCUGUGACGAAGCGUGAGUGACGGUAAUGGGUAAAGAAGCACCGGCUAACUACGUG
RNAcentral lists this ribosomal RNA (468 nucleotides) under uncultured bacterium. RNAcentral describes it as "partial 16S ribosomal RNA". The stretch from base 53 to 468 matches the Rfam family "Bacterial small subunit ribosomal RNA", at positions 39 to 507 of the family's 1533-position model. The record is from RNAcentral.